CGGGGUGAGUAACGCGUGGAGAACCUGCCGUAUACUGGGGGAUAACACUUAGAAAUAGGUGCUAAUACCGCAUAAGCGCACAGCUUCGCAUGAAGCAGUGUGAAAAACUCCGGUGGUAUACGAUGGAUCCGCGUCUGAUUAGCUGGUUGGCGGGGUAAAGGCCCACCAAGGCGACGAUCAGUAGCCGGCCUGAGAGGGUGGACGGCCACAUUGGGACUGAGACACGGCCCAAACUCCUACGGGAGGCAGCAG
Molecule: ribosomal RNA, 252 nt
Filed under: uncultured bacterium
Lineage: Bacteria
Description: partial 16S ribosomal RNA
Rfam family: Bacterial small subunit ribosomal RNA
Source: RNAcentral